CGGGUGCCCAGCUCCGGGCGGGCGGCCUCGGCCCUUCUCCCUGUGUGGCCUGGACUCAGUCCCGCUGCGCCCUUGGCGAGUCGGGGAAGGAGGUGGCGGGCGAGGGUGCUCCGGACGAGGCCAGGCAGGGGGAGGCGAACCUGCGACUCGCCGGCCCGUGUCCCCCGCGUCUCCGGAGGCCCGGGGCGCGGGCACCUUCGGUUGAACGGAAGAGGAGCGGGGAGCGAGGGAGGCGGCAGUUUGUGUCUCGGGGCUCUUCCGCCCCUUCUCGCCUCCUCCUAAGACAGACAGACGCCACCCCACCUGGGGCCGAGCGGGAACUGUGGGACCGUGAUUCGGUCCCCAGGUCCAGACGCCCGGCCUCGGGGGAGGACACGGUCCCAGCCCGCGUGGGCACCGCGUGGGACCGGGCACGGGGCUGCCAGGGCUGGGUCCCCUCUGGCCCCGGCCUGGGACACCGCGGGCCUGGGGCGGCGGGCCCCUUUGUGUGACUAAAUUUGGCAAGAAUAUGAAUCCGAGCCAGCCUUUCCACGUGUGCUCCCAGCUCCCAGCUGAGGAGGCCAAGGGUUCUCUUCCGGUUCCUCGCAGCACAGAUCUGUGUGAAUUUCAGCGCCCGCAUGCUGCAGCCUGCCUUUGAUGUGUGUGAUCUGUACAUUUUAGUGCUCAGGGAAAGCGCCUGACUGACAGCACCGACAUCCAAUGCCCAGGAAUCACGGCAACACCGGCUGGCCAAGCGUGGAGAGGACAAUUUUCCAAACAGAAGACCUGGAGCUAAAGCUCCAGCCCUCAGCCAUUAGCUUUUCCUUCCCCACCUGUGGGAGCUCCCAGCUGGCCUUCACCUCCCCCUUGCUGGGUUCUAUGGAUGCCUCCUGUGCCAGGCAGCUAUGCAGCACCGUGAGAAAAUAUAGGAGACGAUGGACAUGAAGGAGGGAAGGUUUAUUCUGGCUUAUGGCUUCAGGCGGUUUGGUCCAUGGUCACGGGCCCCUCUGUUUCUGGGCUUGUGGAGAGGCAGAGCAUCACAGCAGAAGGGCCUGGCAGAGGACAGCUGCUCACCUGAUGGCAGCACAAAGCACAGAGGAGCAGAAAGGACAGGAGCAAGAUACACCCUGCAGAGGCCCCCCUGCUGAUGUACUUCCUCCAACCUUCACCCUUUCCGGCAUGGCUUCUGGGUUCCUGUUGGAGCUGGUUCUUGGCUUUCUCUUACUCAUGGUUCACUGUGGCAUUCCACCAGAUCCACCUGUGUACACAGCCCAUGUAUGUGCACACAUGCACAGACCCUUUAGUUCUGUACUUGUCCCCUCUGAGCAGAAACCCUGGCAGGGUAGAUGGUCACAGUUUCACCCCUUGGCUUCAUCCAGGUUUCUGUUCAGAUCACACCUCCAUUUCCCACGGUGUUACCUAAAAAUCAGCCCUCUCCCUACCCUUCCGUCCUCAGUCCCCAAUCUGGUCCCUCUCCCUUAUCUUCCCUAGUCCAUCUUUUCCCUCUCACUGCCUGCAUAUUACUGUGUAUUUGUUUGCCUGCUUGUUUGCUUUCUGUCCCACAAAUAGAGAGGUUCUUUGUUUUCUUGUAUCCUUGCCUCCUUCCAUAGCUACUGGUGCAUAGAAAAUGAACUGGAAAGGCAUGUGGGAUGGUGAGUUAACCUAACCUUUAACACCCAAUUUCCUCAUCUGUAAUACGUACUUUCCUUAUGGAGGAGUACAGAAAACUGACACAAAGUUACAUGGCAGAGUAGAUGGUAACCAGAAUUGUGUAGAGCAGCACUGCUCAUAGAAAUACAACACAAGUUCCAUAAUGUAAUUUUAAAUUCAAAAGCUACAAAGCCACAGAUUAAAUCAGUUUAGUUAAUAAUAUAGUUAAUUUAACACAAAUAUCCAAAAUACGGUCAUCCCUUGGUACCCAUGAGGAAUCACUUCCGGGACCCCUGAGGAUACCAAAAUCCGAGGACUCGAAAGUCCCCUAUAUAAAAUUGUGCAACAUUUGCACACGACCUACACACAUCCUUACAUACACUUUAAUCUUUAGAUGACUUGUAAUCCAUCAUCUAAAGACUACAUUGUACUACAUUACUUAUAUUCCAUGUAAUAUAAUGUAAUUGCUAUGAAAAUGGCUUUUCUGGUAUAUGUUUAGGGAAUAAGAAUAAAAUAUCUGUGCUUGUUUAAUAUAGAUAGAAUUUUUUUUAAAUUUUGCUCCAUGGCUGGGGAUUUAGCUCAGUGGUUUUGCCGCCUGCCACACAAGCACAAGGACCCAAGUUUGAUCCCCAGUACCAAAAAAAAAUUUGCUCCAUAGUUGGCAGAGUUCUUGGAUAUGGAAACAGAGGGCUGACUAUAUUACCAUGUUAGCAUGUAAUCAUUGUAAAAACGUCUUAAUGAAAGAUUUUACAUUUUAAAAAUAUGAAGUCUUUGAAAUCUGGUGCAUGGUUCGCUUAUAACACAUCUGAGCUUGAACUGGCCCCAUUCUGAGGCUCCAAGGCACAUUCGCUAGAGGCGACCGUGUAGCUGCCGCUGCACUCAAUCCACCCUUUAAUGACAAGUUUUUGUCUGAUUCAUCUUUAUAGGCUCCUUGCACACUUCUCUCAAAACAGUGGAUGAUCAAAGAUGUAUGAAAGAAUAUUAACACAGUAUAUCGCUAUGUGCUAUUUCUCAUGACUCGCAACUCCGAGGGU
Molecule: long non-coding RNA, 2663 nt
Organism: Heterocephalus glaber (naked mole-rat)
Lineage: Eukaryota; Metazoa; Chordata; Mammalia; Rodentia; Bathyergidae
Source: Ensembl